UUGUGACCAAAUACUCAUAUAAGAGGUAC
RNAcentral lists this non-coding RNA (29 nucleotides) under Rattus norvegicus (Norway rat). Lineage: Eukaryota; Metazoa; Chordata; Mammalia; Rodentia; Muridae. The record is from RNAcentral.